Molecule: transfer RNA, 40 nt
Filed under: Piresia sp. 'morpho B' ILCO-2017
Lineage: Eukaryota; Viridiplantae; Streptophyta; Magnoliopsida; Poales; Poaceae
Description: partial tRNA-Gly
Source: RNAcentral
GUAAAACAUCUCCUUGCCAAGGAGAAGAUGCGGGUUCAUU